GCCCUCUUGUUAGCUUGUUAGCCAGUUCUUUGUUCUUUGUUUCACAGCAGAGGUGUUAAGAGGUUGGAGGGAAAAAAAACUGUGAAAACCUCCUGCUAUCAACAACUAUCACUUAAUGUCACCUUAAACAGAAUUAAAGAUGCUUUGCCAGAGCUCAAAAAUGAGAGUGAUCCACCUGUAAUCUACUCGGCAGUGAGAACUGAAGACAUCAGUUAUGGACAAAUAACUAUCAGACCAAAGAGGACCAGAGACUUUAAACCAGAGCCAGACGUCGUCUACUCUUCACUGAAGUAGUCCACCAGUCCAACCACUGACAUCCAGCUGCUGGUCUCUAACUGGUCCCCCAGCACCUCAGAUCAACGUGUUCAAAAGAUUUUUUUUUUU
Molecule: long non-coding RNA, 384 nt
Organism: Oreochromis aureus
Lineage: Eukaryota; Metazoa; Chordata; Actinopteri; Cichliformes; Cichlidae
Source: Ensembl